UACGUAGGGGGCAAGCGUUGUCCGGAUUUAUUGGGCGUAAAGAGCGCGUAGGCGGCCAGGUAGGUCCGUUGUGAAAACUGGAGGCUUAACCUCCAGCUGUCGAUGGAAACCAUCUGGCUAGAGUCCGGAAGAGGAGAGUGGAAUUCCUGGUGUAGCGGUGAAAUGCGCAGAUAUCAGGAAGAACACCCGUGGCGAAGGCGGCUCUCUGGGACGGUACUGACGCUGAGACGCGAAAGCGUGGGGAGCGAACAGG
RNAcentral lists this ribosomal RNA (253 nucleotides) under uncultured bacterium. RNAcentral describes it as "partial 16S ribosomal RNA". It matches the Rfam family "Bacterial small subunit ribosomal RNA", at positions 524 to 776 of the family's 1533-position model. The record is from RNAcentral.